Molecule: long non-coding RNA, 1509 nt
Filed under: Anas platyrhynchos platyrhynchos (common mallard)
Lineage: Eukaryota; Metazoa; Chordata; Aves; Anseriformes; Anatidae
Description: lncRNA (ENSAPLG00000026174.1)
Source: RNAcentral
UGCUAUAUUUGAAAUUACAUUAGAUUGCAAGAACAAAGAUGCCCUUUUGAUGCUCUGUAGCAGCACUGGAGAUAAUGAAAGGAGAGGAAUCUCGAUAAGGAUGAAAGAUAGCUUCCUUCAGCCUCCCCUCGCUGAUAAAGUGCUUCCCAGAUGAAGAGAAUUUAGAAUAAAAAGCAGCACAAAAGUAAAACAAAGUAAACACAGCCCGGCGUUGCUCUAACAAGAUAAAAUUACACCGUGGAGAGGAGACCAACAGGACAAUAAAGAGAAGCGUUCAGGGGAACGGGGAGAAGGACAGCACGAAUUCGAGACAGGGGAGCAGAGAUCCCCAGAGCAACUACGAGGGGAAGAGCAGCUGGGAGAGAUGUGGAAGGUGUGAAGUUUGGGUACCCACAUCCCUCAAUGCCCCUUUUGCUGAAAAGGGGAGCUCCAGGAGGCAGCAAUGCUGCGAUCACCUCCUUCAUAGGAAGGGAAAGGUGCUGAUUUUCUACGGCUGCUGCCAUUAAUUGGGUUUUAACGUGAUGCAGCUGCUGGCAGGGGCAUAAAGGGGGCUGCAGAGGGCUGGAGCAGGCAGCUGGGUCUUGCAGAAGGCUGUGGGCAGGCUCUGAGCCCUGUGCCAAUGGGUCAGCCACCCCAUGGGGUCUGGGCACGAUGCAGGAUCUGCCCCUGUGCAUCCCCACCUUUCCCCUAAAGCACAGGUUUGAUGCAGGGUUUUGGGGUGCACACCCAGCUGAGGCCUCGUGCUGGCUCUUUGCUGUGCUUUGAGGCUCAAUGUUGAUUUUUGGCCCCUUGGUGCCCUUUUUGGGCCCCAGCUGCUCUCAGCCAUCGCCGGCUGCGAUCGGUGCGGCACUCAGCUCCCUCGGCUUCGAAGGACGCAGCGUGUGGUCCGCUCCGCCGCUGCCAUGGCAACGCUGGGAUGCAAAACCAUGGUUUAAAACCCAAAACAAAUAAAUCCUCCACACCACAAAGCCCAAAGCAUCCUUCUCGCCUUGCUUUCCCCGGCCCAUUUUGUUUUCCCCUCUUGGGACCCGACGAGGAGCUGGUGCUGCCAGGCAAUGACUGCGGUGUCCUGGGUUCCUCGUGUGCCCGUCUCCCGAGGCCAUGUCUUGGGCAGACACUGCUCCAGGCAGGAUUUAAACCUGUUCCUACCCAGGUCUGAAAUCCGUUCUUGGUUGCUUCGUGCCCAGAGAGAGCAACCUCUCAAUUCCUUCACACCCAGUUGCAAAGACCUUGGCAAACCCCCUGCAUCCAAAGCAAGGCACUGAGAGAAACGAAUCCCACAGCAAGGGGCUGAAAACUCCUCCAGAGAGAGCUGCCUGCCUCCUCCAGCACCCAUCACCCAGCCCUGUCCUCCGGUCGCUAUUAAAGGCUUUCAGCCCAGGCACGGAGUGGAAUGAAGCUGUCGAAACCUUUCUGCAGUGAUGUUCCAGAGCCGGCUUUCCGAAGCCCCUGAGUGCCAAGAAGCAUAUAGAGAUACAGAGGGAAUAAACAGCAGAAAGUGCCUAAACA